GAUGAAGAACGCAGCGAAAUGCGAUAAGUAAUGUGAAUUGCAGAAUUCAGUGAAUCAUCGAAUCUUUGAACGCACAUUGCGCCCGCCAGUAUUCUGGCGGGCAUGCCUGUCUGAGCGUCAUUUCAACCCUCAUGCACCUAGGGCGUGGUGUUGGGGAUCGGCCAAAGCCCGCGAGGGACGGCCGGCCCCUAAAUCUAGUGGCGGACCCGUCGUGGCCUCCUCUGCGAAGUAGUGAUAUUCCGCAUCGGAGAGCGAUGAGCCCCUGCCGUUAAACCCCCAACUUUCCAAGGUUGACCUCAGAUCAGGUAGGAAUACCCGCUGAACUUAAGCAUAUCAAUAAGCGGAGGA
This 348-nucleotide unclassified non-coding RNA is filed under the name soil metagenome. Its description in RNAcentral is "partial contains 5.8S ribosomal RNA, internal transcribed spacer 2, and large subunit ribosomal RNA". The stretch from base 1 to 120 matches the Rfam family "5.8S ribosomal RNA", at positions 35 to 154 of the family's 154-position model. The record is from RNAcentral.